CCAGCAACUUGGAGGAAUGUAUAGCGAAAGCUAGUUGCAUUUAACUUAGCAAAAGCUAAGUUGAUGCAGGAUUGACUAUGUCAAAUAAAGUUCUAGGUGGGUUAUGAUGAUGACAUUUCCUAUCUAUGUGUCUUGACCAAAUUACGUGCCAGCAGUCGCGGUAACACGUAAAAGACUAGUGUUAUUCAUCUUUAAUAGGUUUAAAGGGUACCUAGACGGUAAAUCAAGUCCAAAAAGGGUACUAAUUUUACUAGAGUUUAAUAUGAGGGGGCACUAAAGUACUGAUAAGUGUAGAGAUGAAAUUCUGUGAUACAAUAUACGGCACUGGUAAAGGCGAAAGCAUCUCAUUAUGUAAUAACUGACGUUGAGGGACGAAGGCUAGGUGUAGCAAAAAGGAUUAGAUACCCAAGUAGUCUUAGCAGAAAAUUAUGAAUGUCAUAGGAUGGAAAGUUGGAUGGACAAACAACAAAUUUUUUUUUCUAUAAAUGAAAGUGUAAGCAUUCCACCUCGAGAGUAAUUUGGCAACAUUGGAACUGAAAUCAUUAGACCGUUUCUGAAACAAGUAGUGAAGUAUGUUGUUUAAUUUGAUGGUCCGCAAAAAACCUUNCCACAAUUUGAAUAGAAAAAUUUUUUUUCAUACAAGCGCUGCACGGUUGUCUUCAGUUAAUGUCGUGAGAUCUUGGUUAGUUCCAUUAAAUUAACGUAAACCCUUACUCUAUUUUUAUAUAGAGUAGUUCACCGCUAGAUUGG
This 750-nucleotide ribosomal RNA is filed under the name Physconia rossica. Its description in RNAcentral is "partial small subunit ribosomal RNA". It matches the Rfam family "Bacterial small subunit ribosomal RNA", at positions 345 to 1163 of the family's 1533-position model. The record is from RNAcentral. Lineage: Eukaryota; Fungi; Ascomycota; Lecanoromycetes; Caliciales; Physciaceae.